GGUCUUGAGGCUGAGCUGCUAAGCGUUAUUCCCUACUCAUCAAGGGCAUGGUGUGACUGUACAAAUUAUCUGAGGAAUUAAUAAAAGAUCAGUUAAAUGUUCAAAAACCAAAACCUUCUGGAUGUGGGUUCCAGGUACCAGUGCGGUUUAAAAGUUGCUCAGGUGAUUCUUUUAAGCAGCCUUCGUGGGAACCACAGGUGUUGAUGCACAAAAACGUGCUGGUUAGCUUAGACUCGAGGGGGGAGGGAAAUCUGAAGUGUAGUUUGAACCUACACUGCGAAUUGGAUGGAAAGUUGGCCGAGACCUGUCCUUCCCAUGAACUUUACUUUUUUUGCCUUGUGAGCCAAAAAGCCUGAUAAAUACCUUUCAAAGUCAAACCUGAACAACUCAGAGCUCUUCUUUGGGGGUGGGGGCGCACAGGAAUGGCAGCCAUAGCCCCAGUGCUGGAAAUCUUGGAAACUGGGUAGCCGCCACCACCACCAAGCACAAACUAGGGGGUUAGGUAAGUGGAAGGGGUUAUAACAGUGGCCUGGGCUUAACCAAAGACUGUAUAGGGGCCUGAUCUCCUGAAACUCUUUUCUAGGGGCUGAUGGCCCAAUUUCACCCACCUUUUUUCCAUACCUGUUUUUGGAGAGUUAAUUAUCAGUGUGUGUGUGACCACCUCUUCAGCUCCUUCCACUUACCAGGUGGA
Long non-coding RNA from Phyllostomus discolor (pale spear-nosed bat), 691 nucleotides. RefSeq lists it as uncharacterized. The record is from RefSeq and is a predicted model, not a curated record. The transcript has 2 exons. Lineage: Eukaryota; Metazoa; Chordata; Mammalia; Chiroptera; Phyllostomidae.